GUCAGGAUAGCUCAGUUGGUAGAGCAGAGGACUGAAAAUCCUCGUGUCAUCAGUUCAAA
Molecule: transfer RNA, 59 nt
Filed under: Oryza sativa (Asian cultivated rice)
Lineage: Eukaryota; Viridiplantae; Streptophyta; Magnoliopsida; Poales; Poaceae
Description: partial tRNA-Phe
Rfam family: tRNA
About the family: Transfer RNA (tRNA) molecules are approximately 80 nucleotides in length. Their secondary structure includes four short double-helical elements and three loops (D, anti-codon, and T loops). Further hydrogen bonds mediate the characteristic L-shaped molecular structure. tRNAs have two regions of fundamental functional importance: the anti-codon, which is responsible for specific mRNA codon recognition, and the 3' end, to which the tRNAs corresponding amino acid is attached (by aminoacyl-tRNA synthetases). tRNAs cope with the degeneracy of the genetic code in two manners: having more than one tRNA (with a specific anti-codon) for a particular amino acid; and 'wobble' base-pairing, i.e. permitting non-standard base-pairing at the 3rd anti-codon position.
Source: RNAcentral